UGUAAAAAAUUUCAUUAAUUUGUACUGUAAAAGACGGAUAUUACUAACAAAAUAACUAGAUAGUUAAAUGUACCUCAUGCCGGCAUACAAGACCAAUUUUUAAUAGUAGAAAUGGAUGAAAUUUUUAAUA
RNAcentral lists this microRNA precursor (130 nucleotides) under Gossypium hirsutum (cotton). Its description in RNAcentral is "MIR7502 microRNA precursor family". It matches the Rfam family "MIR7502 microRNA precursor family". The record is from Rfam by way of RNAcentral. Lineage: Eukaryota; Viridiplantae; Streptophyta; Magnoliopsida; Malvales; Malvaceae.